Molecule: unclassified non-coding RNA, 549 nt
Filed under: Hevea brasiliensis (rubber tree)
Lineage: Eukaryota; Viridiplantae; Streptophyta; Magnoliopsida; Malpighiales; Euphorbiaceae
Source: RNAcentral
AAGUAUCAUAGAUAUAAAGAAGAACAAAGAUUGCUCAUAUACAACACUCACUAGAAGUUCACAAGCUAAUUUACAACAAAUGCAGCUCAUUUGAUCAGUCCUGCAGCAACUGAAUCAGAAAACAAAUGGAACAACAAGUCGAAAAUACAUCUCGUAUGCUCAUGUUUAUCACAAUAGUUUACAACAGAGGCAAAUUCAAAAUCUAGAGUCGGUGAAUUCAGAAUCAGUGAUUGUUGCAUGAUAUGUACACGUCUUUUCUUUUUUUGCAUGUGUGUAUGCAUACCUCGAUCUGAACGACAGAACAUGUACAUCCCUAGUUUACAACGAGACUUGAUCCUUGCCCCUUACUAUCUUCAAUGUUGCUCGAAAUUGAUAAGUUUUCUCUAAUACCAUCUGCAAGUUUCUGAGCCUCGUCUGACUUCAGCGGACAUCUACUUAAGGUCUCAGAAGUCCAGAGGCAAUCGCUUGCUUUACGAGGAAUUAUAUGAAUGUGGGUAUGAUAUAUAACCUGGCCAGCUGCUGCCCCGUUGUUAACUAACAAGUUGAACG